This 441-nucleotide ribosomal RNA is filed under the name uncultured bacterium. RNAcentral describes it as "bacterial SSU rRNA". It matches the Rfam family "Bacterial small subunit ribosomal RNA", at positions 29 to 514 of the family's 1533-position model. The record is from RNAcentral.
AGCGAACGCUGGCGGCAGGCUUAACACAUGCAAGUCGAACGGAUCCUUCGGGAUUAGUGGCGGACGGGUGAGUAACACGUGGGAACGUGCCUUUUGGUUCGGAACAACACAGGGAAACUUGUGCUAAUACCGGAUGUGCCCUUCGGGGGAAAGGAUUUAUCGCCAUUAGAGCGGCCCGCGUCUGAUUAGCUAGUUGGUGAGGUAAAGGCUCACCAAGGCUACGAUCAGUAGCUGGUCNGAGAGGAUGAUCAGCCACACUGGGACUGAGACACGGCCCAGACUCCUACGGGAGGCAGCAGUGGGGAAUCUUGCGCAAUGGGGGAAACCCUGACGCAGCCAUGCCGCGUGAAUGAUGAAGGUCUUAGGAUUGUAAAAUUCUUUCAGCGGGGACGAUAAUGACGGUACCCGCAGAAGAAGCUCCGGCUAACUUCGUGCCAGCCG